AAGGUGACUGCCGGCUAAAAGUCGGAGGAAGGUGGGGAUGACGUCAAAUCAUCAUGCCCCUUAUGACCUGGGCUACACACGUGCUACAAUGGGCGGUACAAAGGGUCGCGAACCCGCAGGGGGAGCCAAUCCCAAAAAGCCGCUCUCAGUUCGGAUUGCAGGCUGCAACUCGCCUGCAUGAAGCCGGAAUCGCUAGUAAUCGCGGAUCAGCAUGCCGCGGUGAAUACGUUCCCGGGCCUU
RNAcentral lists this ribosomal RNA (240 nucleotides) under uncultured Anoxybacillus sp. RNAcentral's name for it is "partial 16S ribosomal RNA". It matches the Rfam family "Bacterial small subunit ribosomal RNA", at positions 1142 to 1382 of the family's 1533-position model. The record is from RNAcentral. Lineage: Bacteria; Bacillati; Bacillota; Bacilli; Caryophanales; Anoxybacillaceae.